GCCCGGGUGGCGAAAUGGUAGACGCGCAACACUUAAAAUGUUGUGACCGUAAGGUCAUGUCGGUUCGAGUCCGACCCUGGGCA
Non-coding RNA from Candidatus Roizmanbacteria bacterium, 83 nucleotides. Lineage: Bacteria; Candidatus Roizmaniibacteriota. The record is from Rfam.